ACCUUAAAAAAACUAAAAUGACCAAAAUAACAUUUUAUCUUUUGAAAGAUUUAAAUUUUUUUUUAUUUUUCAAAAUUUGAAAUCUUAUCCCAAAACCCCUCUCCCCAACUCUAAACUAUAAACUCUAAACUCUAAACUCUAAAUCCUAAACCCUAAAUCCUAAACCCCACCUCUAAACCCUAAAUCCUAAAUCCUAAACGCUAAACCCUAAAUCUUAAACCCCAUCCCUUAACUCUAAACCCUAAACCCUAAACCCCACCCCUAAACUCUAAACCCUAAACUCUAAACCAUAAACCCUAAACCCUAAACCAUAAAUCCUAAACCCCACCCCUUAAUUCUAAACCCU
This 346-nucleotide long non-coding RNA is filed under the name Brassica napus (rape). RNAcentral describes it as "long non-coding RNA (BNAP_LNC016309)". The record is from RNAcentral. Lineage: Eukaryota; Viridiplantae; Streptophyta; Magnoliopsida; Brassicales; Brassicaceae.